Molecule: long non-coding RNA, 1373 nt
Organism: Triplophysa dalaica
Lineage: Eukaryota; Metazoa; Chordata; Actinopteri; Cypriniformes; Nemacheilidae
Exons: 4
Source: RefSeq, a predicted model, not a curated record
UGCAGGAUAAGCAUUGUUCGAGGGAUGCGCUCUUAGCUGGACUCAAACUGGAGGAGCAAACACAAGGCAGCAACACCAACACUUCCAAGUCUCCUCCAGCAGCGGUCAGCAGGGGCUCGCGAAAUCUCUUGUCCAGGGACUUCACAGAUGAUAAGGAGGGACCAAUGACCAAACACAUCAGAUUAACUGCUGCCUUAACGUUAAAGAACAUCGCAAAGUUCUCUGAUUGUGGACGGAAGUUGGUGAGGCGACACGAAAAUCAUCUCUCUGUGCUGGCUCUGAGCAGUAUGGAGGUCUCCACCACGCUCGCUAAAUGCCUUUACGAACUGACGCGCUCUCUGCAGGCCUGAGCUCAGCUCAGCUCAACCCAAAAACCUUCAAAAGGAAACGUAAAUGUUCCCUUUCUGCUGCCACACAGGCCGUCAGCAACGUCGAGGCGACGUCUCUUGGCCCUCUGAAACCCCACCUCUGUCUCUCCAUUCCACCGAUCCCCCUCCCUCCCCCUUACAAACUGCCACGGGUCUUCCACCAGCCACUCAGAAACCAGCGCCCAUUUCACUCUUCGAACCGCCUCGUCACGCCCGGCCCAGAUUUGUGAAUAGAUAUAAAGUUAAAUGAGUCUCCUCCUCCUUCAUGCCGCUGCAGCCCGUUGGUAUCCGCAGCAUUAAUUUAGUAGAUUCAGCCUCUGUUAUUUUAACCCCUCGUAUGAGAUGUGAUUCUAUACUCAGCAGUGGAUGAAUGUACUUAACCCUGUAAAUAUUCUGCGAAGGUACUGAUGCUGUAAAGUUUUGGUAGGGCUGGCAGAGGCCUACAAGGUUUUUCUUUGUGGAACUGUGAUAUUCCCCUCCUUGGCCCCUCUUUCUUUUUGUACUAUGUAACUUGUAGAACUCAUUUUGCUGGCUGAAAGAGUAUGAAAUAAUAUAUCGUAUGUCAUUUUGUAGAAGAGAUGAAUAUUGAAGGUAUUCCCCCUCAACCUGUAUUCACUGUAACGCCAGUGUGCGAGCUGCCCGCCCGUGCUCAAGUCCUUUUGUAUUUGUAAAUUGGUUUAAAUACAUGGAGUUUUAUACAGGUUUUCUCCUGUGUUCUUUGCUUUCCGUGCAGGUAUGAUAUUUUCCUCCAGAUCGUUUUCUAUCUUCAUAUAGUGUUUUUUCUCCUGUUUUUUCCGUUUUCCCCAGGCCUCUUUUGCUGUGUUGUGUAACAUUUAUUAUUGCCUGUUGUGUUAGCAUCCCAGCGGGGACAUGACCCCCACUCACCAUUUUUGCAGUGUCUGUAGGGUGUGUGAUGAUACAUAUAUCUAACAGUCUGAUAUAGAUUGGCUUCAUUUACUUUGGUGACUGUUUAUAGUUUUUAAAUAAAAGAAUGAACAUUUUUGA